Molecule: long non-coding RNA, 820 nt
Filed under: Olea europaea (common olive)
Lineage: Eukaryota; Viridiplantae; Streptophyta; Magnoliopsida; Lamiales; Oleaceae
Description: long non-coding RNA (OEUR_LNC005658)
Source: RNAcentral
UCCAGCCUAUGAACUCAUCAGCCAAGUCUAUCUCUCUUCAUUUCUUCUUCACAUCAGCCAAACAGGUACAUUGUUCUGCAGUUUUGGACAGUAUUAGCUGAGCUUAAUGGUGGGAGACAGCCCAGGAAAGGUCUUGGUGGUGGCGUUGUUGGCGGGGUUUCUUUGUUUAACUUUCAUUGGAUUAUCCAAUCGAGAUACUAAAAUGGUUGCAGUUCCAUCAACCACAAAUUUCAAGCUUAAUUCGGUUAGCAAGAGAAGAGUGCCUACUGGACCUGAUCCCAUUCACAACAGGUAUGUCUAAUUAAGAUGCCAAGGAUAUGUUUAGUAUACUGAACUAGUCGAUAAAUGUGUACAAUACUGUUUAGUUCAGCGUACCAAACAUAAGUCUUGUAAUUUGUACGAGAUAAUGUAUGAUAAUUUAAUGAUCACGUGUGUGCGAUAAUUUUUGCUUCUAUUCUAAUUAAAGUGACAAUGUUACCUUCAGGGGAACGAGGAAUUCUAUAGAACCAUCUAUGCAAGGUUAAGUUUGGCAUGUAAGAUUAGACACAAGCGGUAUAAUUCAGUUAUCAACCUGCUCAAACCUCGUCUUGUUGGAGUUUGUGUAGAGUUUUUCAUAUACUAUCCUGCUCGAGAAUUUCUAGAUUGAAUGUUUAAUUAAGGUUCUAUGUUUAUCGUACCAAGAAAUAUUAGAACUAGGUCGUCUGUAUUCAUGUAAAACAGUUCGAGAAAGUAGUUAAUACUUUCAAAGGUUGUUAAAUUGUUAUCAAAUUCUGGGGAUUCUGCUUUAGAUACCCUUUGAAGGGAAUCAAAUGGAAUUUUG